AGCUCCAAUAGCGUAUAUUAAAGUUGUUGCAGUUAAAAAGCUCGUAGUUGGAUUUUGGAUUGCGUCUAACGGUCGGUCGUAAGACUGUACUGUUGGGUGCUUUCUUCUUCCCGAAGAUCAUGUGUGCUCUUAACUGAGUGUGCAUGAGGUUCGGGACUUUUACUGUGAGAAAAUUAGAGUGUUCAAAGCAGGCGUUUGCUUGAAUAUUGCAGCAUGGAAUAAUGGAAUAGGAUCCCGAUCUUAUUUUGUUGGUUUCUAGGAUCGAGAUAAUGAUUAAUAGGGAUAGUUGGGGGCAUUAAUAUUUAAUUGUCAGAGGUGAAAUUCUUGGAUUUAUGAAAGAUUAACUUCUGCGAAAGCAUUUGCCAAGGAUGUUUUCG
This 377-nucleotide ribosomal RNA is filed under the name uncultured eukaryote. Its description in RNAcentral is "SSU rRNA". It matches the Rfam family "Eukaryotic small subunit ribosomal RNA", at positions 587 to 972 of the family's 1831-position model. The record is from RNAcentral.